RNAcentral lists this ribosomal RNA (513 nucleotides) under uncultured bacterium. RNAcentral's name for it is "bacterial SSU rRNA". It matches the Rfam family "Bacterial small subunit ribosomal RNA", at positions 19 to 518 of the family's 1533-position model. The record is from RNAcentral.
CUGGCUCAGGAUGAACGCUAGCUACAGGCUUAACACAUGCAAGUCGAGGGGCAGCAUGAUCUUAGCUUGCUAAGAUUGAUGGCGACCGGCGCACGGGUGAGUAACGCGUAUCCAACCUUCCCUGUACUAGGGGAUAGCCCGGCGAAAGUCGGAUUAAUACCCUAUGUUUUCCGAAGCGAGCAUUUAAUUUGGAACAAAGGUUUACCGGUAUAGGAUGGGGGAUGCGUCUGAUUAGAUAGUAGGCGGGGUAACGGCCCACCUAGUCGACGAUCAGUAGGGGUUCUGAGAGGAAGGUCCCCCCUACAUUGGAACUGAGACACGGUCCAAACUCCUACGGGAGGCAGCAGUGAGGAAUAUUGGUCAAUGGGCGAGAGCCUGAACCAGCCAAGUAGCGUGCAGGAUGACGGCCCUAUGGGUUGUAAACUGCUUUUAUAUAGGGAUAAAGUGAGGGACGUGUCCCUUAUUGUAGGUACUAUAUGAAUAAGGACCGGCUAAUUCCGUGCCAGCAGCCGC